UAUGGGGGGACCAUCCUCCAAGGCUAAAUACUCCUGACUGACCGAUAGUGAACCAGUACCGUGAGGGAAAGGCGAAAAGAACCCCGGCGAGGGGAGUGAAAAAGAACCUGAAACCGUGUACGUACAAGCAGUAGGAGCCCACUAGUUGGGUGACUGCGUACCUUUUGUAUAAUGGGUCAGCGACUUAUAUUCUGUAGCAAGGUUAACCGUAUAGGGGAGCCGCAGGGAAACCGAGUCUUAACUGGGCGUUAAGUUGCAGGGUAUAGACCCGAAACCCGGUGAUCUAGCCAUGGGCAGGUUGAAGGUUGGGUAACACUAACUGGAGGACCGAACCGACUAAUGUUGAAAAAUUAGCGGAUGACUUGUGGCUGGGGGUGAAAGGCCAAUCAAACCGGGAGAUAGCUGGUUCUCCCCGAAAGCUAUUUAGGUAGCGCCUCGUGAACUCAUCUUCGGGGGUAGAGCACUGUUUCGGCUAGGGGGUCAUCCCGACUUACCAACCCGAUGCAAACUACGAAUACCGAAGAAUGUUAUCACGGGAGACACACGGCGGGUGCUAACGUCCGUCGUGAAGAGGGAAACAACCCAGACCGCCAGCUAAGGUCCCAAAGUCAUGGUUAAGUGGGAAACGAUGUGGGAAGGCCCAGACAGCCAGGAUGUUGGCUUAGAAGCAGCCAUCAUUUAAAGAAAGCGUAAUAGCUCACUGGUCGAGUCGGCCUGCGCGGAAGAUGUAACGGGGCUAAACCAUGCACCGAAGCUGCGGCAGCGACACUAUGUGUUGUUGGGUAGGGGAGCGUUCUGUAAGCCGUUGAAGGUGGCCUGUGAGGGUUGCUGGAGGUAUCAGAAGUGCGAAUGCUGACAUAAGUAACGAUAAUGCGGGUGAAAAACCCGCACGCCGGAAGACCAAGGGUUCCUGUCCAACGUUAAUCGGGGCAGGGUGAGUCGACCCCUAAGGCGAGGCCGAAAGGCGUAGUCGAUGGGAAACAGGUUAAUAUUCCUGUACUCGGUGUUACUGCGAAGGGGGGACGGAGAAGGCUAUGUUGGCCGGGCGACGGUUGUCCCGGUUUAAGCAUGUAGGCGGAUGUUCCAGGUAAAUCCGGAACGUUAUUAACGCUGAGGUGUGAUGACGAGGCACUACGGUGCUGAAGUGACAAAUGCCCUGCUUCCAGGAAAAGCCUCUAAGCAUCAGGUAACAUCAAAUCGUACCCCAAACCGACACAGGUGGUCAGGUAGAGAAUACCAAGGCGCUUGAGAGAACUCGGGUGAAGGAACUAGGCAAAAUGGUGCCGUAACUUCGGGAGAAGGCACGCUGAUGGUAGGUGAAGUGACUUGCUCAUGGAGCUGAAAUCAGUCGAAGAUACCAGCUGGCUGCAACUGUUUAUUAAAAACACAGCACUGUGCAAACACGAAAGUGGACGUAUACGGUGUGACGCCUGCCCGGUGCCGGAAGGUUAAUUGAUGGGGUUAUCCGUAAGGAGAAGCUCUUGAUCGAAGCCCCGGUAAACGGCGGCCGUAACUAUAACGGUCCUAAGGUAGCGAAAUUCCUUGUCGGGUAAGUUCCGACCUGCACGAAUGGCGUAAUGAUGGCCAGGCUGUCUCCACCCGAGACUCAGUGAAAUUGAACUCGCUGUGAAGAUGCAGUGUACCCGCGGCAAGACGGAAAGACCCCGUGAACCUUUACUAUAGCUUGACACUGAACACUGGUCCUUGAUGUGUAGGAUAGGUGGGAGGCUUUGAAGUGUUGACGCCAGUCUGCAUGGAGCCAUCCUUGAAAUACCACCCUUUAAUGGCUGGUGUUCUAACGUGGGCCCGUAAUCGGGGUUGCGGACAGUGUCUGGUGGGUAGUUUGACUGGGGCGGUCUCCUCCUAAAGAGUAACGGAGGAGCACGAAGGUCAGCUAAUCCUGGUCGGACAUCAGGAGGUUAGUGCAAUGGCAUAAGCUGGCUUGACUGCGAGCGUGACGGCGCGAGCAGGUGCGAAAGCAGGUCAUAGUGAUCCGGUGGUUCUGAAUGGAAGGGCCAUCGCUCAACGGAUAAAAGGUACUCCGGGGAUAACAGGCUGAUACCGCCCAAGAGUUCAUAUCGACGGCGGUGUUUGGCACCUCGAUGUCGGCUCAUCACAUCCUGGGGCUGAAGUAGGUCCCAAGGGUAUGGCUGUUCGCCAUUUAAAGUGGUACGCGAGCUGGGUUUAGAACGUCGUGAGACAGUUCGGUCCCUAUCUGCCGUGGGCGCUGGAGAAUUGAGGGGGGCUGCUCCUAGUACGAGAGGACCGGAGUGGACGCAUCACUGGUGUUCGGGUUGUCAUGCCAAUGGCAUUGCCCGGUAGCUAAAUGCGGAAGAGAUAAGUGCUGAAAGCAUCUAAGCACGAAACUUGCCCCGAGAUGAGUUCUCCCUGACUCCUUGA
RNAcentral lists this ribosomal RNA (2400 nucleotides) under Klebsiella michiganensis. Its description in RNAcentral is "bacterial LSU rRNA". It matches the Rfam family "Bacterial large subunit ribosomal RNA", at positions 443 to 2826 of the family's 2925-position model. The record is from RNAcentral. Lineage: Bacteria; Pseudomonadati; Pseudomonadota; Gammaproteobacteria; Enterobacterales; Enterobacteriaceae.